Molecule: long non-coding RNA, 377 nt
Organism: Polyodon spathula (Mississippi paddlefish)
Lineage: Eukaryota; Metazoa; Chordata; Actinopteri; Acipenseriformes; Polyodontidae
Exons: 3
Source: RefSeq, a predicted model, not a curated record
CUUGUUUUCAGAUCAUUCUGGUCUUGACUAUCUUCAAUGUACCAGUUACUUGGUUUUUUGACCAGGGUUCUUCACGACUAUAUAGAAGCGAGGACUCUGGGAAAACCUUUGAAGAUAUCUCCAAUGUCAUCAAGAACACCUACAUACGGAAAGAAUUUGGAAUCAAUGUGGGGCCAAGUAAUUCACAAAGGGUAAUUCUCACCGCUGAUGUAGCAUUGACUCGUGAGGAAGGAGGCCGAAUAUUUACAUCGCUUGAUUCUGGGAAAUCAUUUGAUUUUGUAGAUCUUCCUUUCCAUCCUGGCCAGCCAAUUGUCUACCACUCUUCAAACCCAGACUAUCUGCUUGUCUCCAGCAUAGACGUGAGUGGGGAAAAUACA